CUACGUAGGGUGCGAGCGUUGUCCGGAAUUACUGGGCGUAAAGAGCUCGUAGGUGGUUUGUCGCGUCGUCUGUGAAAUUCCGGGGCUUAACUCCGGGCGUGCAGGCGAUACGGGCAUAACUUGAGUACUGUAGGGGAGACUGGAAUUCCUGGUGUAGCGGUGCAAUGCGCAGAUAUCAGGAGGAACACCGGUGGCGAAGGGGGGUCUCUGGGCAGUAACUGACGCUGAGGAGCGAAAGCAUGGGUAGCGAACAGGAUUAGAUCCCCUGGUAGUCCAUGCCGUAAACGGUGGGCGCUAGGUGUAGGGGUCUUCCACGACUUCUGUGCCGUAGCUAACGCAUUAAGCGCCCCGCCUGGGGAGUACGGCCGCAAGGCUAAAACUCAAAUGAAUUGACGGGG
Molecule: ribosomal RNA, 398 nt
Filed under: uncultured bacterium
Lineage: Bacteria
Description: partial 16S ribosomal RNA
Rfam family: Bacterial small subunit ribosomal RNA
Source: RNAcentral